CCUACGGGUGGCAGCAGUGGGGAAUAUUGGGCAAUGGGCGCAAGCCUGAUCCAGCAACGCCGCGUGAAGGAAGAAGGCUUUCGGGUUGUAAAGUUCUUUUGUCAGGGAAGAGUAGAAGACGGUACCUGACGAAUAAGCCACGGCUAACUACGUGCCAGCAGCCGCGGUAAUACGUAGGUGGCAAGCGUUGUCCGGAUUUACUGGGUGUAAAGGGCGUGUAGCCGGGUUGACAAGUCAGAUGUGAAAUCCCGGGGCUUAACCGGAGAACUGCAUUUGAAACUGUUGAGCUUGAGUACUGGAGAGGGAGAUGGAAGUCCUAGUGUAGCGGUGAAAUGCGUAGAUAUUAGGAGGAACACCGGUGGCGAAGGCGGUCUCCUGGACGGCAACUGACGGUGAGGCGCGAAAGCGUGGGGAGCAAACAGGAUUAGAUACCCCAGUAGUC
Molecule: ribosomal RNA, 442 nt
Filed under: uncultured bacterium
Lineage: Bacteria
Description: partial 16S ribosomal RNA
Rfam family: Bacterial small subunit ribosomal RNA
Source: RNAcentral